UCGAACGGGGGCUUCGGCCCCAGUGGCGAACGGUCGCGUAACACGUAAGCAACCUGCCCUGAAGUGGGGGACAACAUCCCGAAAGGGGUGCUAAUACCGCAUGUGGUCACGAGUCGGCAUCGACUUGUGUCUAAAGAUUUAUCGCUUCAGGAUGGGCUUGCGGCCUAUCAGGUAGUUGGUGGGGUAAUGGCCUACCAAGCCGACGACGGGUAGCUGGUCUGAGAGGACGAUCAGCCGGAUUGGGACUGAGAUACGGCCCAGACUCCUACGGGGGGCAGCAAUUAGGAAUCUUGCGCAAUGGGGGAAACCCUGACGCAGCGACGUCGCGUGAAGGAUGAAGGCCCUCGGGUCGUAAACUUCUUUUGAGUGGGAAGAAAUUUGACGGUACCACUCGAAUAAGCCCCGGCUAACUACGUGCCAGCAGCCGCGGUAAUACGUAGGGGGCGAGCGUUGUCCGAAGUUACUGGGCGUAAAGCGCGCGUAGGCGGUUAUUUAAGUCUGGGGUGAAAGGUUCAGCGCUCAACGUGAACAGUGCCUUGGAUACUGGAUGACUUGAGUCUGGGAGGGGGAAGGGGAAUUCCUGGUGUAGCGGUGAAAUGCGUAGAUAUCAGGAGGAACACCGGUGGCGAAGGCGCCUUCCUGGCCUAAGACUGACGCUGAGGUGCGAAAGCGUGGGGAGCAAACGGGAUUAGAUACCCCGGUAGUCCACGCCGUAAACGAUGAGUGCUAGGUGUCGGGGGUAUCGACCCCCCCGGUGCCGUCGCUAACGCAUUAAGCACUCCGCCUGGGGAGUACGGCCGCAAGGUUGAAACUCAAAGGAAUUGACGGGACCCCGCACAAGCGGUGGAGCAUGUGGAUUAAUUCGUCACUAACCGAA
This 877-nucleotide ribosomal RNA is filed under the name uncultured organism. Its description in RNAcentral is "bacterial SSU rRNA". It matches the Rfam family "Bacterial small subunit ribosomal RNA", at positions 62 to 965 of the family's 1533-position model. The record is from RNAcentral.